CCUACGGGUGGCUGCAGUGGGGAAUAUUGGACAAUGGGGGGAACCCUGAUCCAGCCAUGCCGCGUGUGUGAAGAAGGCCCUCGGGUUGUAAAGCACUUUCAGUGAGGAAGAACGCCUGGUGGUUAAUACCCAUCAGGAAAGACAUCACUCACAGAAGAAGCACCGGCUAACUCCGUGCCAGCAGCCGCGGUAAUACGGAGGGUGCGAGCGUUAAUCGGAAUUACUGGGCGUAAAGCGCGCGUAGGUGGCUUGAUAAGCCGGUUGUGAAAGCCCCGGGCUCAACCUGGGAACGGCAUCCGGAACUGUCAAGCUAGAGUGCAGGAGAGGAAGGUAGAAUUCCCGGUGUAGCGGUGAAAUGCGUAGAGAUCGGGAGGAAUACCAGUGGCGAAGGCGGCCUUCUGGACUGACACUGACACUGAGGUGCGAAAGCGUGGGUAGCAAACAGGAUUAGAUACCCGAGUAAGUC
RNAcentral lists this ribosomal RNA (466 nucleotides) under Vreelandella stevensii. RNAcentral describes it as "partial 16S ribosomal RNA". It matches the Rfam family "Bacterial small subunit ribosomal RNA", at positions 338 to 795 of the family's 1533-position model. Lineage: Bacteria; Pseudomonadati; Pseudomonadota; Gammaproteobacteria; Oceanospirillales; Halomonadaceae. The record is from RNAcentral.